CCCAGCCCUACUGAGUACACUGUCAAAUGGAAACUCCUUAGACCCAAUUAAUCAUGCUAGCAGGUGAAUUAAAAUAAAAACUAGCAACACAUCAUUCUUUUGGUUUACAAAACAUGAGUGGAGAUUUAGGGACUGCUGGUUUCUUAAACUCCUGUCUUCUCCUGAUACUUCACUGCACUGCUUACUCCUAAAACGCAUGACCCAACUCCCCAUCUCUCCUUGGCAGAAGAGACUAAACGAGGUAGCUGGAGGCGUAAAGAGUAGAACCUUAAGGUUGCUUCUAUGAAAAAUAAACACAACGCGAAAGUAUGCCUAGCACUCAAUAGGUUUUUAAUCCUCAAUCGAUUUUAAUCAAUUUUUUGGAAAAGUUUCCGUGCCACGUUCCAGCAUUAAUCCGUAACACGAAAGAAGGCAGGUGCUAACUGGAUAGAGACCCGCCACCAGCUAACUGUGACUGAGAAGCGCCUUUGGGGCCCGGACUGACACGCGGCGCCUGAUUCACAAAGCUCAGCGAGAGGUUCCAACAGGAACCCGUCGUUCAAGGAGAAAACCCAAAGCAACCAAGCAUGCCGAAGGAGCCCCCAAGGGAUCCCGGAACCCAGGCAAGUCGCGGGAAAAGGGGCCGUUAGGAGGUCGCCGUGGCCGGGGCGGGGCGGGGGGUGGCGGCCUGGGCUUCUCCAGGACUCGGACAGCGACUUCCAAGCCCACUCCCCACACAGGCCCCGCGCCGGUCCCAGGUGCCACCAAUCCCCGAGUGGCCACGCGACCAAGCCUCAGCUGCGGGCAGCUAGCCCGCACCUCCACGUCGAUGUCCAGGAAGCCGCCCUCCG
Molecule: long non-coding RNA, 830 nt
Filed under: Homo sapiens (human)
Lineage: Eukaryota; Metazoa; Chordata; Mammalia; Primates; Hominidae
Description: HSALNT0196392
Source: RNAcentral